Molecule: long non-coding RNA, 851 nt
Filed under: Nicotiana benthamiana
Lineage: Eukaryota; Viridiplantae; Streptophyta; Magnoliopsida; Solanales; Solanaceae
Description: long non-coding RNA (NBEN_LNC037215)
Source: RNAcentral
UGUUAUCCAUAGGUUAUCAAUUAAACAUCUCUGGGGUCUAUCUAUAACACAUUCUGGUAAAACUCUAAAUGACAUAUUUGAUAGUGGAAAAAAUAUUAAAUUAUGCUUCCCAAAAAUUAUCCUUUCUAUAUUAUUUUGUUCUCUAAUGGGUUGUGGCUUAAAAUGAAGGUUACCUAAUACUGUCUGCAAGUAUUUGUUUGAGGGUGAGGCUUGAACGCAUUUUCCCUUGUCUUCAGUCUUGGGAACUGUUGGUCUCAUUCUGUAUAUGUAAAAUAUUCUUAUUAAUUGACAAUAAUUUUUAGCCUACUUAAAGUGUCUGCUAAAUUAUUAUCUUUUCCUUUAAUAUGUUCAAUGUGGCUUAAAAUGAAGGUUACCUAAUACUGUCUGCAAGUAUUUGUUUGAGGGUGAGGCUUGAACGCAUUUUCCCUUGUCUUCAGUCUUGGGAACUGUUGGUCUCAUUCUGUACGUAUAAAUUAUUCUUAUUAAUUGACAAUAAUUUUUAACCUACUUAAAUGGUUAAAAUAAGAUAGAGAUAAUCGGAGAAAAACCUUUAAAGCACUGGGAAAAUAAUAAAGUGAUGUGUAAAUUAGACAUAAUAAACCCAGAAUAUAUAAUUAAAACGGCUUCAAUAGAAGCUACAAAUGAAAACCUUGAAGACUUUAAAACUCAAAUUAAAGAACUUAUGGACUUAGGUGUAAUACGGAGAUCUACUUCUUAAACAUAGGUCAGUAGCUUUUAUGGUUAGAAAUCACAGUGAAAUAAUAAGAGGAAAAGCGAGAAUGGUAAUAAACAAUAAAAGACUUAAUGAUAACACCAAAACAGAUGGAUAUAAGCUACGUGAUAAAACGGAA